RNAcentral lists this ribosomal RNA (419 nucleotides) under bacterium. Its description in RNAcentral is "partial 16S ribosomal RNA". It matches the Rfam family "Bacterial small subunit ribosomal RNA", at positions 355 to 776 of the family's 1533-position model. The record is from RNAcentral.
UGGGGGAUAUUGCACAAUGGGCGAAAGCCUGAUGCAGCGACGCCGCGUGGGGGAUGAAAGCCAUCGGGUUGUAAACUUCUUUUGCUCUGAACAAGGCAUGCUAAUGGGUGUGUUGAGUGUAGGGGUUGAUUAGCGCCGGCUAACUACGUGCCAGCAGCCGCGGUAAUACGUAGGGCGCGAGCGUUGUCCGGAAUUAUUGGGCGUAAAGGGCUUGUAGGUGGCUGGUUGCGUCUGUCGUGAAAGCUCAUGGCUUAACUGUGGGUUUGCGGUGGGUACGGGCUGGCUUGAGUGCAGUAGGGGAGGCUGGAAUUCCUGGUGUAGCGGUGGAAUGCGCAGAUAUCAGGAGGAAUACCGGUGGCGAAGGCGGGUCUCUGGGCUGUUACUGACACUGAGGAGCGAAAGCAUGGGGAGCGAACAGG